UUUAACUCAUACAAGGAGAACAUGCAACUCCACACAGAAAUGCCAACCAGCCCAGCCGAGAUAUAAACCAGCGGGCUUUCUGUGAGGCGACAGAGCUAACCACUGAGUCACCGUGUUGCCGGAGAUUACAUUUUUUUAUUUUAAUAAUUUAUCUCUGUCUAAUUUGGUUUUUCAAAAAAGUUUGUGAACCUGAAUAAAACAUUAGAUGGAAAUUGCAUAGUAAGGUUAGUGAUUAAGCUGGGAUUUACAAGCUAUCCUGGCCCUAUAACCUUGACACAGCUGCAUGAAAGCAGGCUAAAUUAAAACAUAUUAUUGUUCAUAUGUGAGCCUGGAUAACAAAAUCAUUUAUCGUCUGAUUAAAUACGCUUUCCAGUGAUAAAUUUGAGAUAUGAAAAAGCCUACACAGCGGCCUCUCAUGGAUUUGCGAAAACAAAAACUGCAAAAAUACGUACCUCCCGGGACGUAUUUUGCUGUCUCCAAAAAUGUCCACAGGACUAUAUUUUCAGAUUGAGCCUGGGUUGCAAGCAACAAGCAUUUAAACUUAAACACGCUCAAAUCAGCUGAUCAAAAAUAUAGGACCAUAGACCAAAAAAAAAAAAAACACGACAAUAGAACUAAAAUUGUCAAAAUGACCCAGUAGUAUGUAACACCUCCGUUCAGGUUGAUUACUUUAAACACUCAUUUCGGCAUACUUAAUACAAGUGUUUCCAGGAGGCUGGUGGUAACCUUGCUCCAUGUGGUUAAGAUGGCUUCAAGAAGGUCACCAACGGCCUGGAACUAGCGCCUGUUUUUGUAACUUCCCUUGCCAUCCAUCCCCAAAUGUUCUCAAUGGGAUUUAAUCAGGAGAGCAUGCAGAAUGGUCAUUGUAAAUUGCAGCAUUGUCCUGUUGAAAGAUCCAGUCAUUUUCUGCACAGACGAGGGUCCUCAGUCAAGAGGGUUGCCCGCUUCAAUAUGUAUAAAUAACCAGCAGUUGUUUGACAGGCCUGUUUAACCUGAAGCUCAAUUUUCAAAAUUUUAUUAAAAAGCACCCCAGAUCAUGAUGGAGCCUCCAAAACUGCUGUGUAGAAAACAUCUCCUGUGGAAUCUUGUUUUAUCAUGCCAGUAGCGUUGGAAACCAUCAGGACCAUCCUGGUAAAAAAAAAAAAAUCCUCAGAGAAUAAAAUUUUCUUCCACUUUGCAAUGCCCCAUGUUUGGUGCUCCCUUGCAACUUCCGAGCAGGCAAGCUUGUUGUGUGGGAGAAGAUGUGGCCUUUAAAAACAUUUUUUGUUCUUUAAGCUCUUCUCUCAAAGAUGUCUUCUCAUGGUUAUUGGGCUGCAGUCAGCAUCAGUGAGGACCUUAAUUUGGGUUGAGGAUCUGCCUGUGUCUUCUAGGACAGCCCUUUGGAUCCUCCGGCUCAGUGCAGCAAUGACGCACUGUGAGAGCCCUUGCUUGUGCAGCUCAACAAUUCUGCCACGUUCAAAGAGAGAAAGCCUUUUUGCCUUUGCCAUCUUGAGAUCAUGUGUGAUACAGGCCAAAGGAAAAUGACAGCAAAGACAGUUUUGCACAAAAUUGAGCUAUGCACACUGUAAAAAAAUAAACGUUAUUUUACAGGUAA
Danio rerio (zebrafish) is the source of this 1594-nucleotide non-coding RNA. Lineage: Eukaryota; Metazoa; Chordata; Actinopteri; Cypriniformes; Danionidae. The record is from RefSeq and is a predicted model, not a curated record.